UACGUAGGGUGCGAGCGUUGUCCGGAAUUAUUGGGCGUAAAGAGCUCGUAGGCGGCUUGUCACGUCGGGUGUGAAAGCCCGGGGCUUAACCCCGGGUCUGCAUUCGAUACGGGCAGGCUAGAGUGUGGUAGGGGAGAUCGGAAUUCCUGGUGUAGCAGUGAAAUGCGUAGAGAUCGUAAGGAAGACCAGUGGCGAAGGCGGGUCUCUGGACAGUUCCUGACACUGAGGCACGAAGGCCAGGGGAGCAAACGGG
This 253-nucleotide ribosomal RNA is filed under the name uncultured bacterium. RNAcentral's name for it is "partial 16S ribosomal RNA". It matches the Rfam family "Bacterial small subunit ribosomal RNA", at positions 524 to 776 of the family's 1533-position model. The record is from RNAcentral.